AUUUUACUUAGCCUCAAUACGGUCUUAGAGAAAAAGAGCUCUCUCUCUCUCUCUCUCUCUCCAAAUCUCUAUUUUCUGAAUCACUUACUUUUACUUCCUUCCUCAUUGCCACUACCCACCACAAAGUAAUUCUUAUAAAACACACACACACCUUCUCUUAGGGGUGGGCGUUCGGGUAUCCGUUCGGGUCGAGUAUUUUGGAUUUUUGGAUAUUUCGGUAUAGAGGUGUAGAACCCGUUCG
RNAcentral lists this long non-coding RNA (241 nucleotides) under Brassica rapa (field mustard). Its description in RNAcentral is "long non-coding RNA (BRAP_LNC002371)". Lineage: Eukaryota; Viridiplantae; Streptophyta; Magnoliopsida; Brassicales; Brassicaceae. The record is from RNAcentral.